RNAcentral lists this ribosomal RNA (253 nucleotides) under uncultured bacterium. Its description in RNAcentral is "partial 16S ribosomal RNA". It matches the Rfam family "Bacterial small subunit ribosomal RNA", at positions 524 to 776 of the family's 1533-position model. The record is from RNAcentral.
UACGUAGGGGGCAAGCGUUGUCCGGAAUCAUUGGGCGUAAAGCGCGUGUAGGCGGCCCGAUAAGUCCGCUGUGAAAGUCCAGGGCUCAACCCUGGGAUGCCGGUGGAUACUGUCGGGCUCGAGUCCGGAAGAGGGAUGCAGAAUUCCAGGUGUAGCGGUGAAAUGCGUAGAUAUCUGGAGGAAUACCGGUGGCGAAGGCGGCAUCCUGGACCGGCAUUGACGCUGAGGAGCGAAAGCCAGGGGAGCAAACGGG